Molecule: long non-coding RNA, 221 nt
Organism: Xenia sp. Carnegie-2017
Lineage: Eukaryota; Metazoa; Cnidaria; Anthozoa; Malacalcyonacea; Xeniidae
Exons: 2
Source: RefSeq, a predicted model, not a curated record
GAAUUAUAUAAGUUAUAGAAUAAACGCUCGUUAAAGGCUAUAUUUUUAAUGCAGUUAAUCAGUGCAUGAUUGCACUCAACAAACAACAAAAUAGCAUAUCGUUUAACUUCUUUUACUCUGCUUGAUAAGCAGGAAAAGUUCUCAAAAAUUGGGCCUGGUACAAAUAGUUGCAUCCAUAGAAGGCACUACAAAGUCUAAACAGGAACCCGUUAAAGAAAAGG